CAACCUAAUUAGCUGAGACUUCUUUUUUUUGGUUUUCUCUCUAGGAUUUAGCCGUACGUGGUGGAGGCUUUGGGUGGAGCUCGGAUCGUUGCCAACGUCGCGCCGAGGAGCCGUUUGAUCGCGCAAGCAUCAUAAUCGUAUCGUUGGGAGGCCGGGCGAGCGCGUGGUUCCGCUUCUUUCGACGUCUCGCUGUCGUGGAGUCGCGGUUGAGAGCUAUCUUCGUCGGCUGCUGCUGUUGCUGAUUCGGAUCGUGGAAAGGGCGCUGUGAGCUAGACCCUCUCCAUUUGCUGCAGACUAGAGAUUUACCGGCGACAGGUAGUUGUAGUUUUUGGGUUCUUAUACAUACGGAUGUUGUUUCUCGCUGGAGCGAGUCUUUUUUAUACUAGGAUAUGAUGUAUGUAUAGUGGACCUCUGUUAUUAUAUAUGUUUUCUCUUUUAGCAGCUCUAUA
Long non-coding RNA from Ananas comosus (pineapple), 449 nucleotides. RefSeq lists it as uncharacterized. The transcript has 2 exons. The record is from RefSeq and is a predicted model, not a curated record. Lineage: Eukaryota; Viridiplantae; Streptophyta; Magnoliopsida; Poales; Bromeliaceae.